RNAcentral lists this transfer RNA (63 nucleotides) under Mytilus edulis (blue mussel). Its description in RNAcentral is "tRNA-Ser". The record is from RNAcentral. Lineage: Eukaryota; Metazoa; Mollusca; Bivalvia; Mytilida; Mytilidae.
GACUAAUUAAAAAGUUUUGAUUUGAAAUCAAAUACCAAAGCGAGUAUGAGUGCUUAUUAGUCU